RNAcentral lists this unclassified non-coding RNA (521 nucleotides) under Brachychiton rupestris (Queensland bottletree). Its description in RNAcentral is "partial external transcribed spacer". Lineage: Eukaryota; Viridiplantae; Streptophyta; Magnoliopsida; Malvales; Malvaceae. The record is from RNAcentral.
CCUCGCCCAUCGUUUCCUCUGCUCGUCGGUCGAGUUCUCUCGGCUGGCGGGUCGUUGACCGGUGUGCGUGGAUUCUGCUGCUCUUUCGCAAUGGGCGCAUGAGUGGUGUUUGGGUCGUGCGUGUUGGCAGGCUCCGUGCCGGACGGCAUCGAACUGUCUAACAGCGGCCCUCUUCAGUCCGUCUCCCACGCGGCCAGCGUGCCCUGGGGGCAAAAAUCGGGAUUCUGUGCUGCGUACCUCAAUCGAUGGAAAUCGGAUGCCUAAGCGGUCCCUCUUCCGUCUCGUGCCCCCAGGGGCUACGGGACGGACCCAAUGCCGCACCCCGUGUCCCAAGCAUGCCCCCGAAACCGGUGCGGCUGCAUUGGUGCAUGGGCGUACGGUCGUGCUCUCGGAUGCGGAACGUUCCCUGGGCGUGGGGUCUCUGCCCCGAUCGUCCGAUGCCACGCAUUUCGUCCCUCGACUCGAACGAUGCUCGCGCCUCGUCUUGGCCUCGUUUGCCGCUCCGUCGGUGAGUCGAGUGC